GUCUUUGUGCCAGUACCAUACUGUCCUGAUGACUAACAGUGUCUUUAGAAAAGCAGAUGCUUGAAAUGUUUACUAAACCCAAUUUACCAAUUUUUUUCUAUAUGGAUUUUCUAGUGUCAUGUUUAAGAAGGUUUUGUAUACCUGAAGGUCACAAAAAUCUUCCCUGAUUUUUUUCCCUAGAGGUUUUAACUUUUGGAUACGUGAUCAAUUUUGAGUUAAUUUUUGUUAAUUAAUUGUGUGCUAUAUGGAUUGAGUUUCACUUUUUUUGCAUAUGAAUCUCCAGUUGUGCCAGUAUAUUUUAUUGAAAAGAUGAUCCUUUUCCAAUGAGUUGUUUUUGUACCUUAUAAAAAGUCAUUUGGCUGUGGGGGCUAGAUCUGGGUUCUCUAUUUCAUUUUGUUCUCUGUGUCUGCCUUGUUUUGCCAGUACCACACUAUCUGGAUUAUUGUAGUUUUACAGUAAAAUCUUUAAAUCAAGUAAGCAAAUCUUUCAACUUUGUUAUUGUUUUCCAAAACUGUACUCAUCUAGUUCCUUUGGCUUUACAUAUAUGUUUUAGAAUCAACAUGUCAGUUCCUAUACAAACAUCCUACUGUAAUUCUGCUUGUGACUACACUGAACCUGUGAAUCAGUUUGGGGAGAAUUGACAUAGAAGAGUACAAAGGAAUACUGAGACCAAAACAUUUGAGAACCAGAGCGGAGAAGGCACCAUGCGAGAUCAAGGAAAUUCAGUAGUGAGAAAGACAGCUGUGUUCCUAUUUUUUGUGGAUGUUUUUCACUCCAGUGAGGGAAGUAAUGUAUUAGAGUAAGUGCCAAGGAGGAAAUUUAGGGUACUGAGAAAGAGUAAUGGUUACAUAAGGUGAAUGAGGAAGCCCUUGCUGAGGAAGUGGCAUUUAAGCUGUGCCCUAGGGAGCAGCAGCAGCCAGCUACAAGAAGAGCAUUUCAAGCUAGUACUCCCAACGACACACAACCACCAAGAGGAUUCUAGAGUAUUUUGCAGCCUGGAUACAAACAUCUUUUAAAAAAUAAUUUGCCAUUUAAUUCUCACAACAGUAUUGUACAGUACACAUUUGGUGGGUCUAAUAAGAAUGUCCAGUUAAUUGGAAUGCUUGGUAACAUUUAAAAAUUAUUUUUCAAUAUCCUGUGUUAAUGGGUCACAGUAUUAUUGCUUGAUUCUAUUAUCUAUAACAUAAUUGAAUAUUGCAAAACUUCG
This is a non-coding RNA of Odocoileus virginianus texanus, 1207 nucleotides long. The record is from RefSeq and is a predicted model, not a curated record. NCBI's taxonomy places the organism in Eukaryota, Metazoa, Chordata, Mammalia, Artiodactyla, Cervidae.